RNAcentral lists this ribosomal RNA (433 nucleotides) under uncultured bacterium. Its description in RNAcentral is "partial 16S ribosomal RNA". It matches the Rfam family "Bacterial small subunit ribosomal RNA", at positions 29 to 507 of the family's 1533-position model. The record is from RNAcentral.
AACGAACGCUGGCGGCAUGCCUAACACAUGCAAGUCGAACGAGACCUUCGGGUCUAGUGGCGCACGGGUGAGUAACGCGUGGGAACCUGCCCUUAGGUUCGGAAUAACUCCCCGAAAGGGGUGCUAAUACCGGAUAAUGUCUUCGGACCAAAGAUUUAUCGCCUUUGGAUGGGCCCGCGUUGGAUUAGCUAGUUGGUAGGGUAAAAGCCUACCAAGGCGACGAUCCAUAGCUGGUCUGAGAGGAUGAUCAGCCACACUGGGACUGAGACACGGCCCAGACUCCUACGGGAGGCAGCAGUGGGGAAUAUUGGACAAUGGGCGAAAGCCUGAUCCAGCAAUGCCGCGUGAGUGAUGAAGGCCUUAGGGUUGUAAAGCUCUUUUACCCGGGACGAUAAUGACAGUACCGGGAGAAUAAGCUCCGGCUAACUCCGUG